AGGACGAACGCUGGCGGCGUGCUUAACACAUGCAAGUCGAGCGGUAAGGCCUUUCGGGGUACACGAGCGGCGAACGGGUGAGUAACACGUGGGUGAUCUGCCCUGCACUCUGGGAUAAGCCUGGGAAACUGGGCCUAAUACCGGAUAUGACCUGCUCUCGCAUGGGGGUGGUGGAAAGAUUUAUCGGUGCAGGAUGGGCCCGCGGCCUAUCAGCUUGUUGGUGGGUAAUGGCCUACCAAGGCGACGACGGGUAGCCGACCUGAGAGGGUGACCGGCCACGACUGGGACUGAGACACGGCCCAGACUCCGUACGGGAGCAGCAGUGGGAAUAUGCACAAUGGGACGAAAGCCUGAUGCAGCGACGCCGCGUGAGGAUGGAA
RNAcentral lists this ribosomal RNA (380 nucleotides) under uncultured soil bacterium. RNAcentral's name for it is "bacterial SSU rRNA". It matches the Rfam family "Bacterial small subunit ribosomal RNA", at positions 26 to 412 of the family's 1533-position model. The record is from RNAcentral.